UAGUAACAACAUAGAAAGAAACAGGUAUUCUUCAACUGACUGCCGAAGUUAUCUUCACCCAUUAGAGCUCCAAUAAAAAGUACUCUGCUCAACCAAGUAUGACCCCGAUUAUUCUUCUAGCCGGUUAGAAUAGUCCAAGUUAUUCGGGUUUUUUUUUUGGCUUUUGCAAUCUAUGAUCCGACUUUAGUCGAACAACUUUGAUUUCACAUGGUGCACUGCAGAACAGACAUAACGAAACAAAUAUUGUCAUUCCUUUAAUAAUAAUAAACCUAUUUUCAAACAGAUUGUCGGUUUCCAAUAUAUCCUAGUUGAUAAGAUAAUCAAGAAAAUACCAUUUGGGAAUCGUGAAUAAGUCAAUUUUCGAACAACAGCUGAUUUCAAUUGAACAAUAAUACAAAGCAUUCCAAUGAAAUCUAAGAUGAUCAAGAAUAAACCAUGAAUGUUGUUUGAUAUACUUUUGCUGAAGUGCUUUUGCCGGAACAUUUUGGCCAAACUUAAUAGCUGAAUAAGAUGUAUAACCAUAGACAUCAACCUGUACUAGAUUAUUGAAAAAUUAAUCCAGUGCAGUUGAGAAACAGAGGAUAUGUUACUCGGCUGGAGAAGAUAUACACAUAACCAAGAAAAAUAUCAUCCCUACAUUUAAUUACCAACCGGGUAAAUAAUUCACAAAAUCAAUAAAAAGAGGAUAUGCUAUGAGGUAAUUUUAACAUGCAAAUGUAUGAGUUUUCACUAUAAAGAAUAUUCGAUUGAAGCAGAAGCAUGGAUGAUCGAAUGGCGGUUAUACCCGUUUAUUUAACAAAAUAUGCUAUUCGAAAAAAGGGAAAAUGCUGAGCGAUUUUGAUAAGUUCAUUACUCGUGAAUUCAUCAGUAGUAAUAAAAGAAUCUAGUGAUUAAGAGAAUACCAGGGAAUUUAAAGU
RNAcentral lists this long non-coding RNA (917 nucleotides) under Erythranthe guttata (spotted monkey flower). RNAcentral's name for it is "long non-coding RNA (EGUT_LNC000729)". The record is from RNAcentral. Lineage: Eukaryota; Viridiplantae; Streptophyta; Magnoliopsida; Lamiales; Phrymaceae.